CUUAACGGUAAAAUGGCCUUCGAUACUGGCAGUCUUGAGUCCAGAAGAGGCCGGUGGAAUUCGUGGUGUAGCGGUGAAAUGCAUAGAUAUCACGAAGAACACCAGUGGCGAAGGCGGCCGGCUGGUCUGGUACUGACGCUGAGGCACGAGAGCGUGGGGAGCGAACAGGAUUAGAUACCCUGGUAGUCCACGCUGUAAACGAUGUGUGCUAGAUGUUGGUCCUUCGGGGCCAGUGUCGCAGCUAACGCAGUAAGCACACCACCUGGGGAGUACGUCCGCAAGGAUGAAACUCAAAGGAAUUGACGGGGGCCCGCACAAGCGGUGGAGCAUGUGGCUUAAUUCGAUGCAACGCGAAGAACCUUACCCAGGCUAAAUCCAGCCUGAUCGGCCCUGAAAAGGGUCUUCCCUUCGGGGCAG
Molecule: ribosomal RNA, 417 nt
Filed under: uncultured Bacteroidota bacterium
Lineage: Bacteria; Pseudomonadati; Bacteroidota
Description: bacterial SSU rRNA
Rfam family: Bacterial small subunit ribosomal RNA
Source: RNAcentral